Rhinopithecus roxellana (golden snub-nosed monkey) is the source of this 229-nucleotide long non-coding RNA. RefSeq lists it as uncharacterized. The transcript has 3 exons. The record is from RefSeq and is a predicted model, not a curated record. NCBI's taxonomy places the organism in Eukaryota, Metazoa, Chordata, Mammalia, Primates, Cercopithecidae.
CGCGGGUAUGUUGGUGAUGAAGAACCCGGAAGCAACAAGUACUGCUCCAUCUUUUCACCUUCCUCCAUCUUGUCCCUUCUCCCUCACCUAAACAUUGAGAAAUCCUCCUGAGAAGAUUCAGCUUUGCUUUGCCUUCGUCUUCCACCGUGACUUUGGAGCCUCAGAAUGCGGCUGCUUCUCGUCAGUCAUCUUGGCCCUGCCCCCCACUUAUCUUCUUUUUAUGGAGGCU